UGGGGAAUAUUGCACAAUGGGGGAAACCCUGAUGCAGCAACGCCGCGUGCGGGAUGACGGCCUUCGGGUUGUAAACCGCUUUCAGCCAUGACGAAGCUUUUGUGACGGUAGUGGCAGAAGAAGCACCGGCUAACUACGUGCCAGCAGCCGCGGUGAUACGUAGGGUGCGAGCGUUGUCCGGAAUUAUUGGGCGUAAAGAGCUUGUAGGCGGUUUGUCGCGUCGAAAGUGUAAACUCAGUGCUUAGCGCUGAGCCUGCUUUCGAUACGGGCUGACUAGAGGAAGGUAGGGGAGAAUGGAAUUCCCGGUGGAGCGGUGGAAUGCGCAGAUAUCGGGAGGAACACCAGUGGCGAAGGCGGUUCUCUGGACCUUUCCUGACGCUGAGAAGCGAAAGCGUGGGUAGCAAACAGG
RNAcentral lists this ribosomal RNA (409 nucleotides) under bacterium. Its description in RNAcentral is "partial 16S ribosomal RNA". It matches the Rfam family "Bacterial small subunit ribosomal RNA", at positions 355 to 776 of the family's 1533-position model. The record is from RNAcentral.